GACGAACGCUGGCGGCGUGCUUAACACAUGCAAGUCGAACGGUAAGGCCCUUCGGGGUACACGAGUGGCGAACGGGUGAGUAACACGUGGGUGAUCUGCCCUGCACUUCGGGAUAAGCCUGGGAAACUGGGUCUAAUACCGGAUAGGACCACUGCCUGCAUGGGUGGUGGUGGAAAGCUUUUGCGGUGUGGGAUGGGCCCGCGGCCUAUCAGCUUGUUGGUGGGGUGAUGGCCUACCAAGGCGACGACGGGUAGCCGGCCUGAGAGGGUGACCGGCCACAAUGGGACUGGGAUGCGGCCCAGACUCCUACGGGAGGCAGCAGUGGGGAAUAUUGCACAAUGGGCGCAAGCCUGAUGCAGCGACGCCGCGUGAGGGAUGACGGCCUUCGGGUUGUAAACCUCUUUCAGCACCGACGAAGCGCAAGUGACGGUAGGUGCAGAAGAAGGACCGGCCAACUACGUGCCAGCCGCCGCCGAAA
This 478-nucleotide ribosomal RNA is filed under the name uncultured bacterium. RNAcentral's name for it is "partial 16S ribosomal RNA". It matches the Rfam family "Bacterial small subunit ribosomal RNA", at positions 28 to 523 of the family's 1533-position model. The record is from RNAcentral.